AUAAAGGUCAGGAAGUAUUAGUAAGGAUAUUUUUUCAGAGAGAGGCUGGUUGCUGCGAAGUCUUAGAAUAGAAUUGCGAACUCGUCCUGGAACUAGAACCUAUCGUUGCCAUCCGCGUUAAGGAGCAAAUUAAGUGUCACAUUUUUGUGAAACUUAGGUGGUACCGCGAUUAUUUCGUCCUAUGA
This 185-nucleotide non-coding RNA is filed under the name Lactobacillus acidophilus. Its description in RNAcentral is "T-box sequence". It matches the Rfam family "T-box leader". From Rfam's summary of the family: Uncharged tRNA acts as the effector for transcription antitermination of genes in the T-box leader family. T-boxes are found upstream of many aminoacyl-tRNA synthetase genes and some amino acid biosynthetic genes usually in Gram-positive bacteria. The anticodon of a specific tRNA base pairs to a specifier sequence within the T-box motif, and the NCCA acceptor tail of the tRNA base pairs to a conserved bulge in the T-box antiterminator hairpin. Lineage: Bacteria; Bacillati; Bacillota; Bacilli; Lactobacillales; Lactobacillaceae. The record is from RNAcentral.